AUUUAGAGGAAGUAAAAGUCGUAACAAGGUUUCCGUAGGUGAACCUGCGGAAGGAUCAUUACAAAAAGCCCCACCGGCGCCCUCGGUAGUACCCGGGCAGGCCCGGAGGGGGGGGCGCGGCCCCAAGGGCGGCGCCUGAAAAAAACACACUCCCUGCGUACACAUCCCCGUUGCUUCCCCGGGAAGGGCGAUCGCCGCCCGGGGGAGGACCCAACCGGAGCACACGAUGCCGACCAACGCACCUGUCCACCCCCCCUCCUACCUCUCUGAAGGCCAGCGCGGCCAUGGAGGAGAAGGAGCGAGCGAGAGAAGAGACUAAUGCAAAAAACUUUCAACAACGGAUCUCUUGGUUCCCGCAUCGAUGAAGAACGCAGCGAAAUGCGAUAAGUAAUGUGAAUUGCAGAAUUCAGUGAAUCAUCGAAUCUUUGAACGCACAUUGCGCCCCCUGGCAUUCCGGGGGGCAUGCCUGUUCGAGCGUCUCCGGGAAGAAGACUCACGCGGGGUGACCCCUGACGCGUGGUGGUGGCGGCGGUGGCGGUCCCAGCACGGGAGGCCACCCCGGCGGAAUUCAUGGGCGGACGGCCGCCGCGUCGCAGAGCGUGAUAUUUCGCUAUCGCCUCGAGCGCGGAGAGGCUGCCAGCCCUCGCCAGCCCUCGCCAGCCCUCGCCCGUAGGCGGGGCUUGGGAGGCUGGGAUACCAUGACAUUGGAACUCCUCGAAUUC
This 722-nucleotide ribosomal RNA is filed under the name Helvella lacunosa. RNAcentral's name for it is "eukaryotic LSU rRNA". The stretch from base 327 to 480 matches the Rfam family "5.8S ribosomal RNA". The record is from RNAcentral. Lineage: Eukaryota; Fungi; Ascomycota; Pezizomycetes; Pezizales; Helvellaceae.